Nycticebus coucang (slow loris) is the source of this 4289-nucleotide long non-coding RNA. RefSeq lists it as uncharacterized. The record is from RefSeq and is a predicted model, not a curated record. Lineage: Eukaryota; Metazoa; Chordata; Mammalia; Primates; Lorisidae. The transcript has 3 exons.
UGUGUAAUUUUUAUUUAGUUUCUCUUAGUUUUCUUUUGCAGCAUAGAAAAUGAAUACAAACAGGAUUUAAAUCAGCACACAAUUAUCAUCUCACAAUUUCCAUUCUGUUCAGUCUCCCUGGCUACAAUCAAGUUGUUGUCAGGUUACAGUGUCCUGGAGGCUUGAGUGGGGCAGUGUAUUAUGCUCUUUGUAGAAUUCAUUUCUUUGUAGCUAUAGGAUUGGAGACUCUAGCUUUUGCUGGGAGUCAGCUGGAAGCCACUGUCAACACCUUUAGGCCACCGGCUGAUCCUAGCCAUAAGGAAUUCUCCGACAUAAAGCAAGCAAAAAAAGUCUCUGGCAUCAUUAGUUAAGACAAUGUUGCAUCACAUAAUUGUGGAAGUGAUAUCUCAGUACUUUUGCCACAUUUUAUUGGUUAGAAGCAAAUCACAAGUUCCAUUCACAUUCACAGGGAGGGGAUUCCACAAACAUCAGGAACUAGAGAUCUUGUGUGUGUGGGGGGGGGUGGUUCACCCGCAGAUCUCUCAGCCACACAUAUUCAUAGUAAUCUGGAUUUAAAAUGAGGUGCAAUUACUGAAACAUUGCUUGUCAACUCAUUGACAAAUAGUUAUGUCAAUAAAUAUUUGCUCUUUUAAAUAAUUUUUAUCUUUAUUCCCAAUAAGAUAUUUGGUCUUUGUUAUUUCUGUAAAAAAAUAAAAGGCGUGGAAUCUUUCCACGGCUCAGAGUAUAAGCUUUCUUUUGAAGUAUGCACUGCAGAAAGGUCAACACCUUCGACUUCCUCGGGAGACUUCCAUCAGACUUUAUUAAAAGAACAUGGAGGAAAAAAUACCACAUGUCAAUAUAUCCCCGGGAGGCUGUGGAAGAGAUGAAAAGGCCUCAGGGCUCUGUAAGUGAUCCGAAUAUUUCACAGUCUCCUCCCGCGCUGCAAAGCACAAUGUUGCUCUGGUGUUAUGAAAUGUGAAGAUUUUUCUAGGUAAUCACUUUUGUCAUUGUUUUAUGUCUCUAGACACCCCAGAAAACUGAAUUUUGUUUAUGAUAUUGCGUAUAAGCAAAAUCCAAUCUAUAUAACCACAUAGGUAAUGUGCAUUUUAUGGUACAUACUCUCUUUUAAACUUGGGCGCUAUCUGUAUUUGUUUUCUGUAGUUAUGAAAAAAGUAACUCUCAAACAUGGCUUAAAAAUGAUGGAUCUUCCUUACUUCACAGUUUGCAUUGCUGACCGGUCUGUUUAGGCGGCUGCAGCGGGCUCAGGUCUCUAGCUGACUCACCUCAGGCGUGACGUCCUCCACCCGCGAGCGCGCGCUCGCUGACAGACUGGAUCCCGGCCGGCCGGCGGCUGGACACGCACGUUCCUGCCCACAGGGCUUCUCCGAGGGACAGCUGCCCCGGGCGGCCGGCUUUCCCCGGCCCGGAAUCUGAGCGUGUGAGGGAGAAAGAGCGCAGAAUUCCCAGCGGCAAGCCGCAGCCUCCAGGCGACCUGCUCAGCCCGCGGCACCCCGCGCGUCUCUGGGGUUGCGCCGUCAGGGGGCGUCCCUCGGCGCAGUCUGCGCACGCGCGCAGCGGCGCACACGGGCGGGGCUCCCGGGCCGCCUGCGGAGCCGCCGGCGGGGCUGCGGGCCGAGGCUCUGGCCUCCGCGGGAACCGAGCGUCCGGCAACGCCGAGGAAGACCGAGCCGCUCCCAAGUGCCAGGGUUUGGAAGGACUCAUGCCUGGCGCCACAGGUGAGGAAGAAGAAAUAAUUCUGGGCACAGCGUGGGAAGAAGAAUGAAUUACAGAGGAACAGAGGAACAGAGGCACAUACACAGUCAAGAUUUUCUAACAAAUUUCUCAUUGUAUUGGAGACAAAAUGCUGCGUUUUACAGUCUCGUCACAUGUAGGUACAAGGUGACACUCUGGAUAACAUUCAGGAAGAGUAACCAGAGAAAGGCCGCGGAACCACCCACUGCAACGCUGCCAGAAGGAGGCCACUCUUAGCAGAGGAUGUGAAUAAAGAGGGACAGAAAGAGGUUUCACUCUGUAUCGUGAUGUUUAUGGAUUAGACUCUUCUAGGUGUUGGGAAUACACCUGCACGUCUCACUGUUCCAUCUGUUACAAAUUCAUAAGUCAAAUAUGUCUCUUCCAAAUAGUGUCAUUAUUUGUAGUUUAUUUCCUAUGAAUGAAUUACAUACCUCAGAAAAACAAAAAUAGCAAAUAAAGUCAGAUAAAAUUAGUUUGUUAAAGAGAAAGAAGAUGGAAGCUCUGACCCUAAACAAGUAAUCAACAUUUCUGUGAUUCUGUGAUGUGUUGUUUCAUGCCCCAAAGAGACAAGAAGUGAGAACCCCUGAGACCAAAGUGUUAGGUGAAGGUUUACAUUUAUAGUUGUUGCUACGUGAAAAGGAAUGGACAUUCUAAAAUUCUAAAUGAAUUCAGAGUUUAGGAAUUCAUUCUGAAAUUCCAAAUGAAUUAGAGUUUAGGAAUUUUAAAUGAAUCAGAAUUCAAUUUAAAUUUCUAAAUGAAAUAGACUUCCAUUUCUAAAUGGAAAUUCUAAAAUGAAAAAAGGGGUUGUUAUGAAUAAAUAAUCAUUAAUAAUUAACCUUCAGUAGCCACUGGUACAAACUUAUAAUAAACUAUUCUUCUAGAAUUUUGCUAUAUUUCUAAUUCUGUACUUUCAUAACUGAACAGAAUAAUUUGUCUUUUUCUUUGUGAGAUAAUUUAUACCUACACUCAUGAAACUUUAGCUGGCGUAUACAUGCAUUUAAAAAUGAAAUAGCUGAAGAUGUUCUGAAAAUGUGUCUGAAAAUGUCAGUAAGGUUUUACACUGGUACAACAUAUAUACAUUUAAGACAACCUCAAAAGUGAAAUAGUAGUCAUUUUUUAAAUCUAAAUUGUUGUUGUCAUGAUGUGGCUUAUUUUUCCUCUUUGCACUUUGCCUAAACCGUUCCUUUAAUUAGUGGAAUCAAUUCAAAGGUUUAAGCUACUCUUUUAAGAGUUUAUAAUUGUAUCAAAUCAUUUUUUCAUAAUGAAAAUAAGUUUUUGUUUUCACAUAUAAAAUUAAUACGUGGUCUUGUAAAACAUUUAGGAUAAUAUUGAAAAUCCAAAAUUAGAAAUAAGAACAAUUCUCAAUAUUUUGAUACAUAGUCUUAUAAAAGCAUCCAUUUGGAGUUUAUCCUUAUGUGACAUUGUAACUUUUUAACAAAUCACCGUACCUUGGAAACGUCAUAAAAUAGGCUGAAUUUAUUUUGAUUUGUUUUAAGUCUUUUCUUCUCUAGCUGUUCCCGGUCCUCCAUCAAUGUGUUUGGUAACUUAAUGGGCUCUUUUUUUUUUUUUUUUUUUUUUUUUUUUUAUGGUCUGCUUUCUUCUUUCUCUGCCCUGCCUUCUAAGCAGCCUUUUAACAACUGUGACUGACAAAUAUAAGAAAUUGUUGCCCAAAUACUCUUGUAAAUUUUAAUACCUUUUUUUUUAGUGAAAAUGACCACAGAAAACUUACAACUCUAAAAAUCGGCUUUGUCAAUAGAGUUUCUACUGCAAAGUGUAAUAAAAACAAGAAAUUCAGCCUUUUAGCUUGAAGAAAGAUAAAUAUAAAUUCUAUAUUACACGCACGUCACUAGACAAAAAAAGAUGCUAAUGUGAACUUGGAGAUAGACACUAACAAUUGCCAUUCCAAUAUGCACUCUCCUCUGCCUCCCUAUGUUUUAGAUAGCAUUGUGUCUUAUUCUAAAAUGACAGUUACUGUCCUGCUUGAUAUAUGAUAGAUGAGUUUUCCUAUGAAGUAAUUCAGGCCAACUAGAAAUUACUUGUUGGGGAAGGCUUACUGAAUGCUAUUUAAAAAAACAAAGUGGAAAAAGACAUGAACAGAAGCUUUUCAAAAGAAGAUAGAGGAUCAACAAACAUAUGAAAAAAAUGCUCAACAUCACCAAUUAUUACGGAAAUGCAAAUUAAAACCAAAAUUAGAUACAUCCCUACCCCAUCCACAUGGCUAUUAUUAAAAAAUAAAUGAUAGAUGUUGGCAUGGAUAUAGUGCAAUGGGAAUCCUUAAUACACUCUUGAUGAGGAUGUAAAUCAGUACAACCUCUAUGGAAAACAGUAUGGAGAUUCUUCAAAGAAUUAAACGUAGACCUACCAUUAGAUCCCACAAUCUCACUUCUGUACAUCUACCCAAAGGAAAAGAAGUCAGUAUAUCAAACAUACACGUGUACCCAAAUACUGUUCACAGCACAAUUCACAAUUGCAAAGGAAUCAACCUAAGUGCCCAUCAAACGAUGAGUGAAUAAAGAAAAUAAGGGGGUAUAUGCAUAUACGUGUGUAUGUGUGGGGGA